This 1253-nucleotide ribosomal RNA is filed under the name Fidelibacterota bacterium. Its description in RNAcentral is "partial 23S ribosomal RNA". It matches the Rfam family "Bacterial large subunit ribosomal RNA", at positions 1200 to 2443 of the family's 2925-position model. The record is from RNAcentral. Lineage: Bacteria; Pseudomonadati; Fidelibacterota.
CUGCGGCAGCAUGUUUACAUGCUGGGUAGGGGAGCGUUGUGUAAGUGGAUGAAGGUGAGUUGUAAAGCUUGCUGGACAUAUCACAAGUGCGAAUGCUGACAUGAGUAACGAUAAUGGGAGUGAAAAACUCCCACGCCGGAAGACCAAGGUUUCCUGUCCCAUGCUAAUCAGGGCAGGGUAAGUCGGCCCCUAAGGCGAGGCAGAAAUGCGUAGUCGAUGGGAAACGGGUUAAUAUUCCCGUACUUAUAUAAUCAGUGAUGGAGGGACGGAGAAGGCUAGGCAAGCUUGGCGUUGGUUGUCCAAGUGAAAGUGAGUAGGCUGAAGACUUAGGUAAAUCCGGGUUUUCAAGGCCGAGACACGAGACGAGCUCCCAAGGGAGUGAAGUUGUUGAUGCCCUGCUUCCAGGAAAAGCUUCUAAACUUAUGAUUAUAUGAACCGUACCCCAAACCGACACAGGUGGUCAGGUAGAGAAUACUAAGGCGCUUGAGAGAACUCGGGUGAAGGAACUCGGCAAAAUUGUACCGUAACUUCGGGAGAAGGUACGCCUCUGUUUGUGAACACUUCGCGUGGUAAGCAAAUGGAGGCCGCAGUGACCAGGUGGCUGGGACUGUUUAUUAAAAACACAGCACUCUGCAAACUCGUAAGAGGACGUAUAGGGUGUGACACCUGCCCGGUGCCGGAAGGUUAAUUGAUGGGGUUAGUCCUCGGACGAAGCUCUUGAUCGAAGCCCCGGUAAACGGCGGCCGUAACUAUAACGGUCCUAAGGUAGCGAAAUUCCUUGUCGGGUAAGUUCCGACCUGCACGAAUGGUGUAACCAUGGCCACGCUGUCUCCACCCGAGACUCAGUGAAAUUGAAAUCGCAGUGAAGAUGCUGUGUACCCGCACCUAGACGGAAAGACCCCGUGAACCUUUACUACAGCUUGGCACUGAACAUUGAACCUACAUGUGUAGGAUAGGUGGGAGGCUUUGAAGCACAGUCGCUAGAUUGUGUGGAGCCGUCCUUGAAAUACCACCCUUGUAUGUUUGAUGUUCUAACAUUGUUCCCUUAUCGGGAAUGUGGACAGUGUCUGGUGGGUAGUUUGACUGGGGCGGUCUCCUCCCAAAUAGUAACGGAGGAGCACGAAGGUUAGCUAAUCACGGUCGGACAUCGUGAGGUUAGUGCAAUGGCAUAAGCUAGCUUAACUGCGAGACAGACACGUCGAGCAGGUACGAAAGUAGGUCAUAGUGAUCCGGUGGUUCUGUAUGGAAGGGCC